CCCCUCUCAGAGUCACACCUGGAGAGUUUCCAGUACUCUACCAGUCUUGGCUAAGGGAGGGAGAGUCAAGCAGAGGCCUACCCAUUCCAUUCCUAGCUUGGCCAGUGGCUAAGGGGCCAGUGGGAGGCAAUCUGCUACAAGU
This is a small nucleolar RNA of Tachyglossus aculeatus (Australian echidna), 142 nucleotides long. Lineage: Eukaryota; Metazoa; Chordata; Mammalia; Monotremata; Tachyglossidae. The record is from RefSeq and is a predicted model, not a curated record.